Long non-coding RNA from Telopea speciosissima, 101 nucleotides. RefSeq lists it as uncharacterized. The record is from RefSeq and is a predicted model, not a curated record. The transcript has 3 exons. NCBI's taxonomy places the organism in Eukaryota, Viridiplantae, Streptophyta, Magnoliopsida, Proteales, Proteaceae.
UAUUCAUCGUUUAUGUUGUGGCUGUGUAUCAUGUAAAUAGUUAUUAGGCUGUAUUUUAAAAGCAUGAAAUACUGGCAUACUGCAAGGAGUCCAAAUGUUGC